AUCAAAUAGUUUUAGUCUGGAUUACUAGUAGACGUGAUCGCCAUCAUGAUUGAAGUAACACUUAAUGACAGAUUGGGCAAGAAGGUCAGGGUCAAGUGCAACCUCCGAGACACCAUAUCAGACUUGAAGAAGCUUGUGGCUGCCCAGACAGGAACCAAAUGGGAUAGGAUUGUCAUCAAGAAAUGGUACACCAUCUAUAAGGAUCACAUCACAUUAGGAGACUAUGAAAUUUCAGAUGGGGCCAAUCUGGAGCUGUACUACCAGUGAACUUUAUAUUGACUAUCAUGUGAAUGUGCAUUGGAUCACCGGUGAAAAUGAAUAUUCAUUUAGCAAAUGUGCAUUUGAACAAUUAUAGGGUUUGUCAAUGACAAUGACACUCCAAUGACUUUAUGCAUGGAAGCAGGCUGUUGCCAACAUGCCAUGAAUAUGCAUCUCGGUCAAGACCAUUGUGACAGAGAAUUGGCCUGUUCAAUCUUCAGUGUCAAGUUCGGAACAAUGUGAAUUGGUUUUGGAUAAAAGUUCAAAAUGUUAAGGCCUGGUCACACCGCCCGAGCGUUGUUGGAGCGGUAGGGAGGGUAGAAUUUCGCUCACAAAAUUGGGGAAAAAAUCUGAAACAAAAAAAAACAAUCGAAAUAGAAAAUGGUGAACGAUAGCGAGCGGUGAUGACUUUUUCUCUCUGCUCCACGACCGUUACAACAAUGCUCGGGCGGUGUGACUAGGCCUUUAAAGGCAUUCAUGUGAUAUCAAGCUAAUUCAAUAUAACAUGGAAAACAUCACCACUGGUUCCCGAAUGACGGGCAUAUGAAUUACUUGAUAGUGCAACAAACAAAUUCAUUCAUCCCCCCUCUUUUUACUUUCUUUUUAAUAUUUUUAUUCAAGCUAUGUACAUGUAUUAUGUGACUCAUAAACAUUACAAUCAUGUGUGUACUGGGUAUUGAAAAUAAGGUCACCAUCUCACAGUAUAUGUAGCUGCUUAUUUUUUUUGGGGGGGGAUGGGGUUUAUUACAAGGCAAACUCCCUGUUGUACAACAUGCAUUAGAGAUUGCCUCAAAUUAUAUUUUACUUCAUUGUGUUCAUUAUGUGUAAAUCAUUACUUUCUGUCUUUUAUUAUGUGUACUUUUCAUCAAGAAAUAGUGAAUGUGGAAAAUGAUAUGUCUUGUAAAUAAAUGUAGAAAUUUUAAUGUA
Lytechinus variegatus (green sea urchin) is the source of this 1185-nucleotide long non-coding RNA. RefSeq lists it as uncharacterized. The record is from RefSeq and is a predicted model, not a curated record. The transcript has 4 exons. NCBI's taxonomy places the organism in Eukaryota, Metazoa, Echinodermata, Echinoidea, Temnopleuroida, Toxopneustidae.